Molecule: ribosomal RNA, 308 nt
Filed under: uncultured bacterium
Lineage: Bacteria
Description: bacterial SSU rRNA
Rfam family: Bacterial small subunit ribosomal RNA
Source: RNAcentral
GACGAACGCUGGCGGCGUGCCUAACACAUGCAAGUCGAACGGAAGUAAGUGCUUCGGUAUUUACUUUAGUGGCGAACGGGUGAGUAACGCGUGAGGAACCUGCCUUUCAGUGGGGGACAACAGUUGGAAACGACUGCUAAUACCGCAUGACGCUUCUUAGGGGCAUCCCUGAGAAGUCAAAGCUUUAUGUGCUGAAAGAUGGCCUCGCGUCUGAUUAGCUAGUUGGUGAGGUAACGGCUCACCAAGGCGACGAUCAGUAGCCGACCUGAGAGGGUGAUCGGCCACAUUGGGACUGAGACACGGCCCAA